UGAGGAAUAUUGGGCAAUGCCCGCAAGGGUGACCCAGCAACGCCGCGUGGAGGAUGAAUGUCGUAAGAUUGUAAACUCCUGUUAGAGGGGAGGAAUAGUACCGGUUGGACCGGUAUAUGACUGUACCCUCAGAGAAAGCCCCGGCUAACUACGUGCCAGCAGCCGCGGUAAUACGUAGGGGGCAAGCGUUGUCCGGAUUUACUGGGUGUAAAGGGCGCGCAGGCGGGAUAAAAAGUCAGUGGUGAAAUCCUACAGCUUAACUGUAGAACUGCCUUUGAUACUUUUAUUCUUGAGUUCGGGAGAGAGAGACGGAAUUCCAGGUGUAGUGGUGAAAUACGUAGAUAUCUGGAAGAACACCAGUUGCGAAGGCGGUCUCUUGGUCCGACACUGACGCUGAGGCGCGAAAGCGUGGGGAGCAAACA
This 422-nucleotide ribosomal RNA is filed under the name uncultured bacterium. Its description in RNAcentral is "bacterial SSU rRNA". It matches the Rfam family "Bacterial small subunit ribosomal RNA", at positions 355 to 774 of the family's 1533-position model. The record is from RNAcentral.